GGGUUGUGAGGUUAAGCGACUAAGCGUACACGGUGGAUGCCCUGGCAGUCAGAGGCGAUGAAGGGCGUGCUAAUCUGCGAUAAGCGCCGGUAAGGUGAUAUGAACCGUUAUAACCGGCGAUACCCGAAUGGGGAAACCCAGUGUGACUCGUCACACUAUCAUUAACUGAAUCCAUAGGUUAAUGAGGCGAACCGGGGGAACUGAAACAUCUAAGUACCCCGAGGAAAAGAAAUCAACCGAGAUUCCCCCAGUAGCGGCGAGCGAACGGGGAGGAGCCCAGAGCCUGAAUCAGCAUGUGUGUUAGUGGAAGCGUCUGGAAAGGCGCGCGAUACAGGGUGACAGCCCCGUACACAAAAGCGCAUGUGCUGUGAGCUCGAUGAGUAGGGCGGGACACGUGGUAUCCUGUCUGAAUAUGGGGGGACCAUCCUCCAAGGCUAAAUACUCCUGACUGACCGAUAGUGAACCAGUACCGUGAGGGAAAGGCGAAAAGAACCCCGGCGAGGGGAGUGAAAAAGAACCUGAAACCGUGUACGUACAAGCAGUGGGAGCACAGGUUUACCUGUGUGACUGCGUACCUUUUGUAUAAUGGGUCAGCGACUUAUAUUCUGUAGCAAGGUUAACCGAAUAGGGGAGCCGGAGGGAAACCGAGUCUUAAUUGGGCGUUAAGUUGCAGGGUAUAGACCCGAAACCCGGUGAUCUAGCCAUGGGCAGGUUGAAGGUUGGGUAACACUAACUGGAGGACCGAACCG
This 749-nucleotide ribosomal RNA is filed under the name Salmonella enterica. RNAcentral's name for it is "partial 23S ribosomal RNA". It matches the Rfam family "Bacterial large subunit ribosomal RNA", at positions 1 to 781 of the family's 2925-position model. Lineage: Bacteria; Pseudomonadati; Pseudomonadota; Gammaproteobacteria; Enterobacterales; Enterobacteriaceae. The record is from RNAcentral.